AUUGAACGCUGGCGGCAGGCUUAACACAUGCAAGUCGAGCGGGGGAGGUUACUUCGGUAACUGACCUAGCGGCGGACGGGUGAGUAAUGCUUAGGAAUCUGCCUAUUAGUGGGGGACAACAUUCCGAAAGGAAUGCUAAUACCGCAUACGCCCUACGGGGGAAAGCAGGGGAUCUUCGGACCUUGCGCUAAUAGAUGAGCCUAAGUCGGAUUAGCUAGUUGGUGGGGUAAAGGCCUACCAAGGCGACGAUCUGUAGCGGGUCUGAGAGGAUGAUCCGCCACACUGGGACUGAGACACGGCCCAGACUCCUACGGGAGGCAGCAGUGGGGAAUAUUGGACAAUGGGCGGAAGCCUGAUCCAGCCAUGCCGCGUGUGUGAAGAAGGCCUUUUGGUUGUAAAGCACUUUAAGCGAGGAGGAGGCUCCUUUAGUUAAUACCUAAAGUGAGUGGACGUUACUCGCAGAAUAAGCACCGGCUAACUCUGUGCCAGCAGCCGCCGUAA
RNAcentral lists this ribosomal RNA (501 nucleotides) under uncultured bacterium. RNAcentral's name for it is "partial 16S ribosomal RNA". It matches the Rfam family "Bacterial small subunit ribosomal RNA", at positions 30 to 523 of the family's 1533-position model. The record is from RNAcentral.